UACGUAGGCAGCGAGCGUUGUUCGGAAUUACUGGGCGUAAAGAGUGUGUAGGCGGUGCUCUAAGUUCGGUGUGAAAUCUCCCGGCUCAACUGGGAGGGUGCGCCGAAUACUGAAUGACUAGAGUGCGGGAGAGGAAAGUGGAAUUCCUGGUGUAGCGGUGAAAUGCGUAGAUAUCAGGAGGAACACCGGUGGUGUAGACGGCUUUCUGGACCGUAACUGACGCUGAGACACGAAAGCGUGGGUAGCAAACAGG
RNAcentral lists this ribosomal RNA (253 nucleotides) under uncultured bacterium. Its description in RNAcentral is "partial 16S ribosomal RNA". It matches the Rfam family "Bacterial small subunit ribosomal RNA", at positions 524 to 776 of the family's 1533-position model. The record is from RNAcentral.